AAAGAUUAAGCCAUGCAUGUCUAAGCACAUGCCUUAAUACGGUGAAGCCGCGAAUAGCUCAUUACAACAGCCACCGUUUACUAGAAUAUAGUUAUCCUACUUGGAUAACUGUGGCAAUUCUAGAGCUAAUACAUGCAAAAAAGCUCUGACCGCGAGGAACGAGCGCAUUUAUUAGAAUAAAAACCAAUCGGGUUUCGGCCCGUAAUUUGGUGAAUCUGAAUAACUUUGCCAAUCGCACAGUCCUAGUACUGGCGAUGUAUCUUUCAAGUGUCUGCCUUAUCAACUUUCGAUGGUAGGUUAUACGCCUACCAUGGUAGUAACGGGUAACGGAGAAUAAGGGUUCGACUCCGGAGAGGGAGCCUGAGAAACGGCUACCACAUCCAAGGAAGGCAGCAGGCGCGCAAAUUACCCACUUCCAGAACGGAGAGGUAGUGACGAAAAAUAACGAGACAGUCCUCUUCGAGGUCUGUCAUCGGAAUGGGUACAAUUUAAAUCCUUUAACGAGGAUCUAUUGGAGGGCAAGUCUGGUGCCAGCAGCCGCGGUAAUUCCAGCUCCAAUAGCGUAUAUUAAAGUUGUUGCGGUUAAAACGCUCGUAGUUGGAUCUGCGGCCUCGGAGAACGGUCCCCCGAAAGGGUGGUCACUGUCUCUCCUAGCCUAAAUUCGAGUCGUCUCUAGGUGCUCUUUACCGAGUGCCUAGAGUGACUAGAACGUUUACUUUGAAAAAAUUAGAGUGCUUAAAGCAGGCGAAAUAGCCUGAAUAAGGUGCAUGGAAUAAUGGAAUAGGACCUCGGUUCUAUUUUGUUGGUUUUCGGAACCCGAGGUAAUGAUUAAGAGGAACAGACGGGGGCAUUCGUAUUCCGGCGCUAGAGGUGAAAUUCUUGGACCGCCGGAAGACGGACAACUGCGAAAGCAUUUGCCAAGAAUG
RNAcentral lists this ribosomal RNA (926 nucleotides) under Ecumenicus monohystera. RNAcentral's name for it is "SSU rRNA". It matches the Rfam family "Eukaryotic small subunit ribosomal RNA", at positions 39 to 966 of the family's 1831-position model. The record is from RNAcentral. Lineage: Eukaryota; Metazoa; Nematoda; Enoplea; Dorylaimida; Qudsianematidae.